GGGGGGUGUGCUUACAUGCAGUCGAGCGAACAGAUAAGGAGCUUGCUCCUUUGACGUUAGCGGCGGACGGGUGAGUAACACGUGGGUAACCUACCUAUAAGACUGGAAUAACUCCGGGAAACCGGGGCUAAUGCCGGAUAACAUAUAGAACCGCAUGGUUCUAUAGUGAAAGAUGGUUUUGCUAUCACUUAUAGAUGGACCCGCGCCGUAUUAGCUAGUUGGUAAGGUAAUGGCUUACCAAGGCGACGAUACGUAGCCGACCUGAGAGGGUGAUCGGCCACACUGGAACUGAGACACGGUCCAGACUCCUACGGGAGGCAGCAGUAGGGAAUCUUCCGCAAUGGGCGAAAGCCUGACGGAGCAACGCCGCGUGAGUGAUGAAGGGUUUCGGCUCGUAAAACUCUGUUAUUAGGGAAGAACAUAUGUGUAAGUAACUGUGCACAUCUUGACGGUACCUAAUCAGAAAGCCACGGCUAACUACGUGCCAGCAGCCGCGGUAAUACGUAGGUGGCAAGCGUUAUCCGGAAUUAUUGGGCGUAAAGCGCGCGUAGGCGGUUUCUUAAGUCUGAUGUGAAAGCCCACGGCUCAACCGUGGAGGGUCAUUGGAAACUGGGAAACUUGAGUGCAGAAGAGGAAAGUGGAAUUCCAUGUGUAGCGGUGAAAUGCGCAGAGAUAUGGAGGAACACCAGUGGCGAAGGCGACUUUCUGGUCUGUAACUGACGCUGAUGUGCGAAAGCGUGGGGAUCAAACAGGAUUAGAUACCCUGGUAGUCCACGCCGUAAACGAUGAGUGCUAAGUGU
RNAcentral lists this ribosomal RNA (800 nucleotides) under Staphylococcus sp. JSM 2155015. RNAcentral's name for it is "bacterial SSU rRNA". It matches the Rfam family "Bacterial small subunit ribosomal RNA", at positions 37 to 823 of the family's 1533-position model. Lineage: Bacteria; Bacillati; Bacillota; Bacilli; Caryophanales; Staphylococcaceae. The record is from RNAcentral.